UCGUUGUCUUUGUUCUUUAUUUCUCAUCAGAAACGAUCCAAAUCGAUACUACACUGAGAUCACCUUCUCUAAUCUCAUCUUCUUUCUCUUUUGCUUCCUCGUGUUGGAUCACGGUUUUUGCUUUAGAGUAGAUCUCGAUCUCGAACUGUUUUUACUCUGUCUCUCUGCUCACAAAGUUGCAAUCUUGGGGGGAGAUAUAAGGCAACCCUUUUCUCCUCUGGUACUUCAGAACUGAUAAGCAAACGUACGUUCAAUGACGAGUCUAGGUUACUUUUGCAAUCAUGAGUGAUGUUUGUUUUGUACAAAUGGGUCAAUGACGAGUCUGUUUUUUAAAGUUCUGUUAGAAUCGUCAAUGGUUUUAUAAAUAAAACCCUUAAUCUCAAGAUUUCAGAUUUUUUUUAACUAGUUUCAUUAUGAUAUGCUUUAUCUAUGUUGUGUCUUUAAAUCUGAGGAUUCAGUGAAUUAGAUAUGAAUUUAGUGUUUAGUAAUUAGAACUAGAGACUCGAAACUUAGGCUUGUGUUUAAACUCAGUGUUCAAUGGAGGAUUAGUAUGAUUGGUAAAAAUGUUGAAACUUGAGCUGUGGAAGGACCUCUUGAGAGUCCUUCUAGUUCUAGAAGCUUUUACUGGAAUUGAGAGGUUGCUUUUUGGAGAUAGUGUGCCAACAUCUCUUCAACGUGCUUUUAGAUAGUGUGUUCAAGGACCAAUACAAAAAGGAAGAACUUGUUGGUGAUGCUAUUUGUCAAAGACGUUGAUGUCUGAAUUUGUUCCACUGCAACAAAGAUCUCUUCUAUUCCAAAGAUUCAGGACAAAUUAACUUAGACGUAGAGCCUAUUGAACAUGAGGAUGGACAAGGCCUGAAGGGGUCAAGACUCAUUCUCUUCAAGUAUCUCAUGGAAUGCAACAAGGUUCUCCUCGAACACUUUUUUGAUUUGCGACCACCUACUUAUCCGGAGGAUCCGAAUUUGACUCCGACAGUCCAUGAAGAUGACGACGAUGAGACCCAAGAGUAAUGAUUUCUGGUUAUUUUUAAAACUUGAACAUUUUUUUCUGUUUUUUUGGUUGUUUAUUUGUAUUUUUAGGUUGUUUGCUUAUCAAAACUUUGUUUGUAAAUACAUUCAUGUUUCUAUAUAUAAUUUUCUGUUAUUUUCAUCGCUUUAAA
Long non-coding RNA from Capsella rubella, 1160 nucleotides. RefSeq lists it as uncharacterized. The record is from RefSeq and is a predicted model, not a curated record. The transcript has 5 exons. Lineage: Eukaryota; Viridiplantae; Streptophyta; Magnoliopsida; Brassicales; Brassicaceae.